This 2884-nucleotide ribosomal RNA is filed under the name Vibrio cholerae HC-46A1. Its description in RNAcentral is "bacterial LSU rRNA". It matches the Rfam family "Bacterial large subunit ribosomal RNA". The record is from RNAcentral. Lineage: Bacteria; Pseudomonadati; Pseudomonadota; Gammaproteobacteria; Vibrionales; Vibrionaceae.
UUAAGUGACUAAGCGUACACGGUGGAUGCCUGGGCAGUCAGAGGCGAUGAAGGACGUACUAACUUGCGAUAAGCGCAGAUAAGGCAGUAAGAGCCGUUUGAGUCUGCGAUUUCCGAAUGGGGAAACCCAACUGCAUAAGCAGUUACUGUUAACUGAAUACAUAGGUUAACAGAGCAAACCGGGGGAACUGAAACAUCUAAGUACCCCGAGGAGAAGAAAUCAACCGAGAUUCCGGUAGUAGCGGCGAGCGAACCUGGAUUAGCCCUUAAGCACUCGGUGAAGUAGGUGAACAAGCUGGAAAGCUUGGCGAUACAGGGUGAUAGCCCCGUAACCGACGCUUCAUCGAGCGUGAAAUCGAGUAGGGCGGGACACGUGAUAUCCUGUCUGAAUAUGGGGGGACCAUCCUCCAAGGCUAAAUACUCCUGACUGACCGAUAGUGAACCAGUACCGUGAGGGAAAGGCGAAAAGAACCCCUGUGAGGGGAGUGAAAUAGAACCUGAAACCGUGUACGUACAAGCAGUAGGAGCACCUUCGUGGUGUGACUGCGUACCUUUUGUAUAAUGGGUCAGCGACUUAUAUUCAGUGGCAAGGUUAACCGUAUAGGGGAGCCGUAGCGAAAGCGAGUCUUAACUGGGCGCUCAGUCUCUGGAUAUAGACCCGAAACCGGGUGAUCUAGCCAUGGGCAGGUUGAAGGUUGAGUAACAUCAACUGGAGGACCGAACCGACUAAUGUUGAAAAAUUAGCGGAUGACUUGUGGCUAGGGGUGAAAGGCCAAUCAAACUCGGAGAUAGCUGGUUCUCCCCGAAAGCUAUUUAGGUAGCGCCUCGGACGAAUACUACUGGGGGUAGAGCACUGUUAAGGCUAGGGGGUCAUCCCGACUUACCAACCCUUUGCAAACUCCGAAUACCAGUAAGUACUAUCCGGGAGACACACGGCGGGUGCUAACGUCCGUCGUGGAGAGGGAAACAACCCAGACCGCCAGCUAAGGUCCCAAAGUAUUGCUAAGUGGGAAACGAUGUGGGAAGGCUCAGACAGCUAGGAUGUUGGCUUAGAAGCAGCCAUCAUUUAAAGAAAGCGUAAUAGCUCACUAGUCGAGUCGGCCUGCGCGGAAGAUGUAACGGGGCUAAGCAAUACACCGAAGCUGCGGCAAUGUCUUUUAGACAUUGGGUAGGGGAGCGUUCUGUAAGCCGUUGAAGGUGAAUCGUAAGGUUUGCUGGAGGUAUCAGAAGUGCGAAUGCUGACAUGAGUAACGACAAAGGGGGUGAAAAACCUCCUCGCCGGAAGACCAAGGGUUCCUGUCCAACGUUAAUCGGGGCAGGGUGAGUCGACCCCUAAGGUGAGGCCGAAAGGCGUAAUCGAUGGGAAACGGGUUAAUAUUCCCGUACUUCUGACUAUUGCGAUGGGGGGACGGAGAAGGCUAGGUGGGCCAGGCGACGGUUGUCCUGGUUCAAGUGCGUAGGCUUGAGAGUUAGGUAAAUCCGGCUCUCUCUAAGGCUGAGACACGACGUCGAGCUACUACGGUAGUGAAGUCAUUGAUGCCAUGCUUCCAGGAAAAGCCUCUAAGCUUCAGAUAGUCAGGAAUCGUACCCCAAACCGACACAGGUGGUCGGGUAGAGAAUACCAAGGCGCUUGAGAGAACUCGGGUGAAGGAACUAGGCAAAAUGGUACCGUAACUUCGGGAGAAGGUACGCUCUUGAUGGUGAAGUCCCUCGCGGAUGGAGCUGACGAGAGUCGCAGAUACCAGGUGGCUGCAACUGUUUAUUAAAAACACAGCACUGUGCAAAAUCGCAAGAUGACGUAUACGGUGUGACGCCUGCCCGGUGCCGGAAGGUUAAUUGAUGGGGUUAGCGCAAGCGAAGCUCUUGAUCGAAGCCCCGGUAAACGGCGGCCGUAACUAUAACGGUCCUAAGGUAGCGAAAUUCCUUGUCGGGUAAGUUCCGACCUGCACGAAUGGCGUAAUGAUGGCCACGCUGUCUCCACCCGAGACUCAGUGAAAUUGAAAUCGCUGUGAAGAUGCAGUGUACCCGCGGCUAGACGGAAAGACCCCGUGAACCUUUACUACAGCUUGGCACUAAACAUUGAACCUACAUGUGUAGGAUAGGUGGGAGGCUAUGAAGACGUGACGCCAGUUGCGUUGGAGCCGUCCUUGAAAUACCACCCUUGUAUGUUUGAUGUUCUAACUUAGACCCUUAUCUGGGUUGAGGACAGUGCCUGGUGGGUAGUUUGACUGGGGCGGUCUCCUCCCAAAGAGUAACGGAGGAGCACGAAGGUGGGCUAAUCACGGUUGGACAUCGUGAGGUUAGUGCAAUGGCAUAAGCCCGCUUAACUGCGAGAAUGACGGUUCGAGCAGGUGCGAAAGCAGGUCAUAGUGAUCCGGUGGUUCUGUAUGGAAGGGCCAUCGCUCAACGGAUAAAAGGUACUCCGGGGAUAACAGGCUGAUACCGCCCAAGAGUUCAUAUCGACGGCGGUGUUUGGCACCUCGAUGUCGGCUCAUCACAUCCUGGGGCUGAAGUCGGUCCCAAGGGUAUGGCUGUUCGCCAUUUAAAGUGGUACGCGAGCUGGGUUUAGAACGUCGUGAGACAGUUCGGUCCCUAUCUGCCGUGGGCGUUGGAAGAUUGAAGGGGGCUGCUCCUAGUACGAGAGGACCGGAGUGGACGAACCUCUGGUGUUCGGGUUGUGUCGCCAGACGCAUUGCCCGGUAGCUAAGUUCGGAAUUGAUAAGCGCUGAAAGCAUCUAAGCGCGAAGCGAGCCCUGAGAUGAGUCUUCCCUGACAGUUUAACUGUCCUAAAGGGUUGUUCGAGACUAGAACGUUGAUAGGCAGGGUGUGUAAGCGUUGUGAGGCGUUGAGCUAACCUGUACUAAUUGCCCGUGAGGCUUAACCAU